RNAcentral lists this ribosomal RNA (403 nucleotides) under uncultured bacterium. RNAcentral's name for it is "bacterial SSU rRNA". It matches the Rfam family "Bacterial small subunit ribosomal RNA", at positions 989 to 1393 of the family's 1533-position model. The record is from RNAcentral.
GUCGGACAGCUUGAGAGAUUCGAGUGUGCCUUCGGGACUCUGAGACAGGUGCUGCAUGGCUGUCGUCAGCUCGUGUUGUGAAAUGUUGGGUUAAGUCCCGCAACGAGCGCAACCCUUAUCCUUGUUUGCCAGCACUUCGGGUGGGAACUCCAGGGAGACUGCCGGUGAUAAACCGGAGGAAGGUGGGGACGACGUCAAGUCAUCAUGGCCCUUACGAGUAGGGCUACACACGUGCUACAAUGGCAUAUACAGAGGGCAGCAAGACCGCGAGGUGGAGCGAAUCCCAGAAAGUAUGUCGUAGUCCGGAUCGGAGUCUGCAACUCGACUCCGUGAAGUCGGAAUCGCUAGUAAUCGUGGAUCAGAAUGCCACGGUGAAUACGUUCCCGGGUCUUGUACACACCGA